GACGAACGCUGGCGGCGGGCUUACCACAUGCAAGUCGAACGGAAAGGCCUUGCUUUUUUGGGGUGCUCGAGUGGCGAACGGGUGAGUAACACGUGAGUAACCUGCCCUUGACUUUGGGAUAACUUCAGGAAACUGGGGCUAAUACCGGAUAGGAGCUCCUGCUGCAUGGUGGGGGUUGGAAAGUUUCGGCGGUUGGGGAUGGACUCGCGGCUUAUCAGCUUGUUGGUGGGGUAGUGGCUUACCAAGGCUUUGACGGGUAGCCGGCCUGAGAGGGUGACCGGCCACAUUGGGACUGAGAUACGGCCCAGACUCCUACGGGAGGCAGCAGUGGGGAAUAUUGCACAAUGGGCGGAAGCCUGAUGCAGCAACGCCGCGUGCGGGAUGACGGCCUUCGGGUUGUAAACCGCUUUCGCCUGUGACGAAGCGUGAGUGACGGUAAUGGGUAAAGAAGCACCGGCUAACUACGUG
Molecule: ribosomal RNA, 468 nt
Filed under: uncultured bacterium
Lineage: Bacteria
Description: partial 16S ribosomal RNA
Rfam family: Bacterial small subunit ribosomal RNA
Source: RNAcentral